AUUACAGAGUUGCGCUUACAUAUUUGUAUUAAACUACAAUAGAUUUCUUUUUUCGUUCAGAGAACUUCUAGUAAAUUUUGCGUGACAGAGAAAUAACUUUGAUUGAAACAAAAAGAUUUUCCGUCUGCCUUUGUGAUCCUUUUACAGAUAUAGGAAGAACACCGAGAGAUAUCCCACCAGCUCACUAUACAUUAAAAGUAGAUUCAUUCUCAUUCCUUGUUCAAAUACUUGAGAAAGCUGGAAGAAAGAGAUAUGAGUCUGAUGUUUUUGAAGCCAGUGGUCACAAAUGGAAACUGUGUCUCUAUCCAAUUGGCGAUAUAGAAGGAGGUGGAGAGGGACACAUCUCUCUUUGCUUGGCCAUCACAAACACACAGGCUUUACCUCUUGGUUGGGAAGUUAAUGUGAGUUUCAAGUCCUUCGUGCUUGACCAGACUCAAGAAAAAUACUUGACGAUUCAAGAUGUGUUAUGUAUCCGACUUUUCAGUUCUAAACAAAGAAGUUUUUAACAUGUUAGAUUUUGAUUUCAUACUUUUUAAUCCAAAAUCUUGCUAAUGCUAUUUACACUUGGAGAAUCUUCAAUUUUUCCCGUUCAACGAGCUCGAAUUCGUUCAGCAAGUUUCACUCUUCAAGAUUGCAAGUGGUAUAUAUUGUUCAGAUAAACUGUUUCUCCUUUUAAUUUUGUAUAUGUUCUGAAAGCAGACAAUUUAAGGACAGCUAAUAUAUUGCUGUUUAGGAAGUUAGAGCUCCAUCCCAAAGGAUACCCUGUAGAUGAGCACAAUAAGUUUGCACUUAGAAUCUGCUUCGAUGGGACAGCUACGUAUACACCGAGAGUCUAUGCAGAUUAUAAGCUGACGAUAAAGAAUCAAGCGGAUGGUGAGGAUGUCAUGGCUACAGCUAGUACUGGAUUAUUCUCUGGUAGUAUAUUUUGGGUUUGGAGGAAUCCCCAAAAGCUAGGUCCAGUGACUGAUAUAUCUGAGGAAUUUAUUGUCAAUGAUACAUUGGUUGUUACAUUCGAGAUUACGCGCUUUUUCGCUGUGAAAAGAUUUGCCUAGUGUAGUCUAAUGUUUCGCUUGAGUUUCACAAAAAAACUAUGGAUAGCACCGACCAUUUAUGAUAUCAUGAGGCUGACUUACAAGUUUGAUAGGAAACGAGCAGAUGACGAUGACAUGUAAACCAUAUCUUCUGGUCUUUUCCCCUUGGAGCAAUUAGCUUGGUGAUUACUGAUUACUGAACAAGGCUUCUUCACACUUUGUAGGAACUUAUUUCGGUUGCUGCACUUAGCCUUUGAACAUUAUUUCAUGACACUGGGUGUUGGAUAUGAUAGAAACUGCUUUUAACCAGUGUGUUCUGGUUUUGUUAUAUCAGAUGCAUUAGCGUUUAAGACAUUUCUUCUUUUACCUCCAGUAGUCAUUAUAUUGUUUAUCCUUCAUCUGUUGGCAACACAUUGCUUUUGUGAAAGAUAUCCAAUUCGUCUGAAAAAAGAGUAGCUUAGGAGUAAUUGGUAAA
Long non-coding RNA from Capsicum annuum, 1506 nucleotides. RefSeq lists it as uncharacterized. The record is from RefSeq and is a predicted model, not a curated record. The transcript is spliced from 4 exons. Lineage: Eukaryota; Viridiplantae; Streptophyta; Magnoliopsida; Solanales; Solanaceae.